UGGAAUGGUCAUGAGAUGGAAUGCACACAACCUCGAUAUUAGCCCAACUGGAUCUAUUUCACCUACGCGUUAGAGAAUUAACGCGGUAAAUCUGUGAAGACUUAGUAGGUACUUCAAGAUUUUUUUUUAAUCUAAGAUUAAUAAUAACAAAAAAUAAAAUUUUAUUCAUUUUAUAGACAUAUAAUUCUCAUCAAAUUAGUUCCUAAAGUUUAAUAUAUUUUUUCUUAAAAAUCACAAUUACCUUUACUUACCGUAACCCAAUAAUUGAUAAUAGCUGAAUUACAACAUUGUAGCCCAAUGCAAACUAGUUGAACACUUAGGAUAUACGGAAAUAAAUCAAUAAUGUAUUGUUAAUGCAUAUUGUGAGGCCCAAUUUUUGCUCGAGCCUGCAAACCAAAAAAUAAACCAAUCAUAUAAAACAUAUAUAUAUAAAAGUCCAAUAACAAUGGUCCAAUUACAAUAAAACCCUAAAACCCAAAUUGGCCCAAACCUUUUUAACCAAAACAACCCAAUUAGCCCAAUACACCCUAGCCCAGUAACCCAAAAAAAAACUGGAAACAUUAGCCAGACUGCGCCACAGCUGGAACCAGACCCUCCCACUCACGCCGCGCGCCUCUGCUUUCCCCACACGUGCAUCUCCGCCUCCAACUGGCUGUACCUGCAAAACAAAUGUAACAAAUUAGCAACAACAAAAGCAACCACGCAGCAAAAAAGAAUAACAGAAGAUAGGAGAGGAAAAAAUAGAUUUUAUUUUAUUUUAUUUAUUUAUUUUUUUAUUUUCGGCUAUAAAAGCCGAUUACAAAAUCUGUAAAGGGGAUUGUAAAAAAAAUCAAUAGAAGAGGGCGAAUAGCAGUUGUUUUUAAAGGUGAUUUGCUUAUUUCUAUUAUUUUUCCUUUGAUUUUUUUAUUUUAUUUGUGAAUUAAAAGAAAAGGAGAAAGUUCUUACCUUCGUGAGUGCGCCGUCGGAAUCUCCAUGUGCUCUGUCCCAAAUCUGAGUCGAUAGUGGAAGAUUUUGGGCUUGCGCAGCGGGGGAGAGAAACAGAGUGGUGGCUACUAAUUUUAAGAUUUAAAAGGGUCUAUUUAUAGUGCGAGAAACGGCACCGUUUAGGGCCUAUUUCAAUGGCUCCAAAAUGGUGACGUGUUGGCUAGUAACCCGAUUACCUGACCCGCUAGUCUCAGAUCCGCACAUUUUAUAGCGCAAGGGAAAUUUGCACAAAUGGUCCUCGUUCUUUUUAUAACUCUUUCAAAUUAAUCCUUUUAUUUCAUUCAAAUUUGGCCACGCAUUCUAUGUUUCAUUCCAAUUUGGUCCGUGUCAAGACGUUGCAUUUUGAGGGAAGGGAAUAUUUCUUAUUCGGCCCCCAUGUUAUUCGCGCGUCAUAUUUUGGCCCUCAGUUUUAUUUUAUUCUCAUUUUUUAUUUUUUAUUUUGUUUUAAAUUCAAUUUAAUCAUCA
This 1449-nucleotide long non-coding RNA is filed under the name Gossypium barbadense (sea-island cotton). RNAcentral describes it as "long non-coding RNA (GBAR_LNC017198)". Lineage: Eukaryota; Viridiplantae; Streptophyta; Magnoliopsida; Malvales; Malvaceae. The record is from RNAcentral.